AUAUUUAUAUAUAUAUAUAUAUAUUUGCUUCUCUCAUAUAUAUAUAUAUUUGUUCAACAUCCACUAUUAAACUAUUAGUUUUUUUACUUUUCUGCAUUGGAAAAAAAUUGGAUUCUUGUAACUGAGUAUUUCAAAGUGCUGUAGCCUGUUUUUUUCACGUAGCAUUUGUUCCAUUAUAGCACAUAUUAACAAACCGCAGAUGAAAUGACAUGAAAUCAGCUGUUAACACUCUGAUGUGUAACCGUCAUCCGUUUGUGUUGCAGCAGCAUCUUAGACCUUCAACAUUGAUUAUUUAUGAACUAUCAAUACUUCAACAAACGGUCCAUCUGUCCAAUCUGCACAGCAUCUGCCACCCGCAGCUUGGUCUCUUUUUUUUAUGAAUAUCAACCCGACCACAUUGUGCACUGCAGUGAAGGCAGCUCUGCAGGUUGUGUGUUUGUGGGGAGGGAGGGGGGCAGCUUGUGCGUGGUGGUGAUGAUGAUGAUGCGUGUGACGCCACGAGCAGGAGCGCAGCAGCAGACAGGACCCGGGCUGAAGCAGCAGCAGCAGCAGCGCCGCCACUAAAUACUAGAAUAUUAUUAUAUUAAUUUUUGCAGGCUAAAUUGUGGUAUAUGUGCAUACAGACCAUAUAGGUCUCCUGUAUUGCUUAUAUACACAUAUAAGCCCUAUGUACAUACAAGAUAUGUCUUAUACAGCUCAUGGCAGGAUCUGGUCAUUAUACAGCUCAUAUCUCACUGUCAUACAUGAUGCCUAGCUCAUAUUAUUAUCAAAGCAUUAAUUAAGAACUAAGUAAAAUAAAAAUUCUGAAAGAACUUAGUAAUUAGUAUCACGUGUAUAUGUGAUGUUAUGGAAUUUAACUAUGGCAAUUAAGUGAGAGGAGAUGGAAAGCUCUGAUGGCUACACAUUUUCAAAUCUUUCUUGUAUGAAGAUAGUGGUAAAGAAGAAAAUGUAUAACAAAAUGGCUCGUGUUUUUAUUUUAUUUUGUCAAUCAAGCCUUUUUUUUGCAAUGUCAAGUCACUUAUUCACAUUACAGCUCAUACACAUCCACACAUUCACAUUAAUGCAGUUUCUAAAUGAAUAUGGCUGAAAGGUCAUUAGUCUAAAUGUAGCAAAAAGUAAUCUUCAUCAUCAUCCCAUAUCUAUCUGAGUAUUUCACUGUGGUUAAUUAAUUUGAACACAAUGUCAACAUUUCCGUACACGGUUUUAACGAACAGACACUUUCAUUUCCAAAAAGAAGAGCAUGCGAGAAGAGAGGAGAUGAGAAAAGAGAGAGAAAGAGAGAGGGAGGCAUAGAGAAAGCGGGAGACAGGAGGGAGGGAUACAGUUGGAGGGAGGUAGGGACACACAGACAGAUAAGGAGACAGAAGCAUUCCCGCUAUGCCACAUAUGUUUACAUGAUACCUGUAGCUGGUAGCUUUGUAGCUAGCUUCUAGCAUGUUACUUUCGUUUACGUCUUCGCUUAGUUCUUUCUGGAACGGAUGCUUCGUCGUUGACGAGGUACCUUUUGUAACGUACUGGAUCCAUUAUUUUUCUUUAUUUGUUGCUUAUUUACCACAGACCGUAAAGCAUACUGGCAAGCAUGUAUCCACUCUGCUCCGAUCGGCCGCUACAGAGUCGCGUGCGAAUGACGUCAUCAACCGCGCUGGGCCACUUGUUGAUGACGUCAUUCCCAUGCAGGCGCGAACGCGCCGAAAGAUAACGGCUGGGACUAAGUAUAAAGUAUUAAAAAUGGAGACAUCAGCGUUCCGCUAUGUCCUACUUGAAUGGACUGAGGGUGAUGAUCGUGGGGCGCAUAGUAUUUUGGCGAUGGACUGUGUCCGGAACUUUUCAGUUCAAGAUUUUUUUGCCUCGACUGAACAAAACGAGAAGCUGGUGGAAUGACGAAAAGGCCGCCAACCCUGGCCGGUUCACCGAGCCAAAAUUGUUGACGUGGCAAGUAAGUUAUGUUACAUUUCUAUUAUGUAUAUCACAUUAAAUUUUGCUCGCACUUAAAGAAGUGUAAAAUGGAUCUUGUUACCUGACUAGCUUAGUAUGCUGGCUGUUAGCUACCUAAUUUGCUAAUGCUACCUAAGUCUCUUAAUUGGGACUAAUGCUACGUUUGGUAACGUUAAACAUGAUUAGACAAACGUUUGCAGUAAACAUUUCAAUUUUAUUGCACCAGAAUUUGAAAAACCUCUCCAAAUUAAACUGCGUGAGAUUGAGGUGGAGAAAGAGGGCACACAAACAAAACGUCCUCACAUCCCAAACUCAAAGUACAUUGAGCAGCAGGGGAAGACUGAGAAGGCUUCAAAAAAAAAGGUAACUGACUGCACCAAUUGGUGCUUUAGUUCAAGUUAUCUCCCCUCUCUUGUUUCUUAAUGUGUAGGCAUGUUUGUAGAUUUGUAAUUGUGUCAUCUUUGAUGAUUUAAUGUGCUUUGACAAGAUAUAUGUGCAAGCUGGUGUAACGCAAGUUAAUAAGAGUUGAGCUAAAAGUCAGUCUGUGUCUUUCUGUCGGUUGACAAUAAAAAGGGAGGGUCUUCCAAAUACAAGCACCAGGAGGGUGAGAAGCAGGAGGAGGGUCAUGACAGACUUUCAAAGAACAAGGUACACUACCAGUCGUCCUGUGUGUGCUGUUACAUUACAAUACAUUCAUGGUUCCUCUGUUUCUCCCUCUCCCUCCAAAGGUUGCCGUGAAAAAGAAAAAUCUUUCUAAAUACGAGGAGGAGGAGGAGGAGGAAGUGGAUGAUGAGGCACGUCAUGACACAAAGAACAAGGUACACUACCAGUCUGCAUCCAGUGUGUGUUAUUACAUUGCAAUACAGUAAAGAUAAGUAAGACUUUUAUAAUAAAGUGCAUUACCAGUAGCUGUUACAAGGUAUGACACCAGCACAGUAGGCAACUUUGUCCUCUCUCUUUCUCUCUCCCUCCCAGCGGGCCAGAGAAGAGGAGGAGCAUAUUGGGGAUGAAGACGACAAAGUACCAGCCUCAAAGAAAAAGGUAGCCUAAAUGAUGACAUCCGGUGUGUGGUGUAGACGUCUGUGCCGUAGACGUCUUGCUACCUUCCUCUUACAUUUCUUAUGACAUCCUCCCAGAAAAUCAGAAUCAACCAUUUACAAAAGUUAAAGUUAUAUAACAAUUAGCUGUUGUUCUUCUCUGUAUUUCUCUUUCUCAUAGAGUGCUGCUGAAUUUAGAAAGCAACUGGACGAACAGAUGUGGGAGAGAAAAAAAAUUGAACAAAUGCAAAGAAAUUUGCAGGAGUUGCGAAAUGAAGUUCAGUCUCUCAAAAGUGAAAAUGCACAUCUGAAAGAUGUUCUGGAAUGGGAAGCAACCUGAAUGGUACAAAAACAUGUUGCUAAUCUCUUCUGUCCUUAAAAAAACAAAAAACAAGUCAGUCAUAUUCUGUGUAAUGAAUCAUGUUUGUGUGCGGGCAUACCAUCGCUUUUGUACUUGCCAUUUUUGUAUUUCCUUGCACCUCAAGAAAACGUAAUGUGUGUGUGUUACGACCCCCUGGAUGGUCUAGGGGUGCGGGGACCAUAAACAUAUAGGCAGAACCUGGUCGGGUGUAAAAGGGUAGUAUUUAUUGGCAACCAGAGGUAAACAGGCACGUAACAACAAACAAAAGGAGGGUGGAUGAGGGUGCUGUGAAAAGACAAACUAAGUAAAAUAAAAGAGAUCCCCAAAAGGAGAACUAUGCCUGAAUAUACGUUAAAACAAACAGUAGGCGCUUACCAUAAAAAACACAAAGAGCACAGCACCCACUACACCUAUGAAGCUAACAAACACAGAACUACGUGUGGUGAAAUCAGUAUAGACUCUGGCCCUAACUCACCCCCUUUUGUCAGCUCCGUGCUGGCAAAAACACACAGAACCAAAGCACAGUUCUCUACCCAGUUGCACUCAAUUACAAACACAGAAGGCACACAAGUCCACUGGCCAAGACAAGCCACCCCGAGCCACUGGUGGGCUCUCCUUAAGAGCUGGAGGUAAGGCUGCGAUGGUGACCUGCCAUUGGGCGCGCUGGGACAGGGUGGACGAAUGGGUGGAGCUGGAGUGAACCUGUGGGGCUCCACCGAAACCAGGAAGUAGGCGGGGCUUCAGUCCACAGGGCCGCACAGCCUACUUGGUACAGACAAGACAGAAAUACAGACCACGGUGACAGCCGUAACAGUGUGUAUAUAUAUAAAAAAAACUCUUGCUUACUCCACCUUCAAAUGCAUAAUGUGUUGAGAAGGGAAAACAAAACUUUUAAGACUUUAUAAGUUCACCACUUUAACCAUAGCCUACUUGUAUCAAUGUUUAUUAGGCAUCAAUGGAGACUGCAUAAGGUAUGGGCACAAUAACAGUGGGUAGACAGGUAAAUAAUAUCAAUAUAUACAGCAAGACAGAUCACACCCAGGCCCCGAAUCCACCUCCUCAAAGUGAUCCACUCGCCACCGAGUCGGAGGUUCCUCUGUCAUCCUCACUGGCACCAUCAAGGUUGUUCCAGUUUUCUCCAUACGUUUGUGUCACUUUUCCAUUUUUUUACAAGAUGUGAAAAUAUAUUUAGGGUGUUAUUGAAUAAACAUUCACAUACAAAUACCAGUCUUUCAUGAGAUUUUAAUGAAAGUUUAUAUUUAUUAUACAAGUAUUUGAUUCUAUAGGUCAGAAUGACUUAUUAUACUCAGUCUUUUGUUCCUGUAGAAACUCCACGUCCGCCGUCGCUGGCAGUUAUCGACCAGCUGCUCAACAAACCCCGUGAGCAGAAAGACACACUGAAGCUUGUGGACCAGGACUACGCUGCUCUAGUUCACAACUCCUGUACAGACCCCAACAGCAUGCUCCACCCAACAACAAAACUACAUAUUCUACAAUAUGUAAAGCACCUCAGCAAAUUGUUGAACACCAGUUCCUCUUUAAACGUCAGUCCAGAAAAACUGUAAGAGAGGCAGAAACUCUCUGACAGAGGUGAGUGAGACCACUAGUGUGCCAGUUGUUACGAUGUCUGUUGCUAUUGUUCACCCACCUCCACCUGUUCAGAUGCUGACACAAGCUUCUAUUGAGAAGAUUGUACUCAACAUCAUGGAAAAGCAGCAGCAACAUAAACAGGAACAACAACAACAACCAAGUUAAUAUAUUUCAAUUACUAAUGUCUACAUGUGUAAUAAGUGAAAAUAAGUGAAUCACUGUAGUGAACAGUAAAAUAAGUUGGUCUGUAAGUACAAUCUAGUGAUAACCAGUAGACAGCAGAUUGGGGUAAACAUUUCCUUUAUUGUUAUUUGAGAAGGAUGAGGUAGGAUGGAGUGGGAGGUGAAGGAAGGUGUUCUUACAGGUGUCCUGUCUCAGGCACGUUGAUGUUGACGUCCCGGAUGGUCUCCUUUUUCUUCUCUUCUCUCUCCUAUUUCUUUGUCUCCUUGUCCUGUAUCUUGCGCCUCAUUUUGUCCAUCUCCGUCUGCCGGUCUUUUUUUUUUUUUUUUUAAGUACAUGCAGAUGUAUUCAAGGACUCUUUUGUCCUCUAAUUCUUGGAUCCUGGGGAUUAAGAUCUGAUGUUCUUUGGGGAUAGUAUCCUCUGUUUGUUGGAUCUUAGAGAUCAGGCACAACUCAGUGAAACCACUGCUUGUAACCAUCUCGUGGUGGGUAUCCUCUAGGCAGGUUGUAAAAAAAAAAUGAAAUGAAAUGUGUGCAAUAGAAAUUAACAGUACAGUUAAUUAAAGCUGACCAAUAAAAAAAUAAAAACUAACAAAACAAUAUUUACUUAAAUGUACAAAAUAAGGCAGAAAUGAGGUAAGGGAAAUGUGCAAACCUGAUUAGGUUGUAAAAAAAAAUAAGCAGCCAGAGAGGGAUCUUUUUUUUUUUUUUAGAUCUUUCUUAUUUAGAUCUCUUUUUUCAGAUCUCUUUCUUUUUUUUUUUUUUAGAUCUUUUUGAGUUUUUUUCAGAAUUUCUUUUUUUUCAAGGUAGAUGGAUGAGGUAGGAUGGAGUUGGAGGUGAAGGAAGGUGUUCUUACAGGUGUCCAGUCUCAGGCACGUUGAUGUUGACGUCCUGGAUGGUCUGCUUUUUCUUCUCUCUUCUAUUUCUUUGUCUCCUUGUCCUGCAUCUUAUGCCUCAUUUUGUCCAUCUCCGUCUGCCGGUCUUUUUUUUUUUUUUUUAAGUACAGGCAGAUGUUUUCAAGGACUGUUUUGUUGUCCUCUAAUUCUUGGAUCCUGGUGAUACGGAUCUGAUGUUCUUUGGGGAUGGUAUUCUUUUUUUCAGAAUUUUUUUUUCAGGGUAGAUGGAUGAGAUAGGAUGGAGUGGGAGGUGAAGGAAGGUGUUCUUACAGGUGUCCAGUCUCAGGCACGUUGAUGUUGACGUCCUGGAUGGUCUGCUUUUUCUUCUCUCUCCUAUUUCUUUGUCUCCUUGUCCUGCAUCUUAUGCCUCAUUUUGUCCAUCUCCGUCUGCCGGUCUUUUUUUUUUUUUUUAAGUACAGGCAGAUGUUUUCAAGGACUGUUUUGUUGUCCUCUAAGUCUUGGAUCCUGGCGAUAAGGAUCUGAUGUUCUUUGGGGAUGGUAUUCUUUUUUUCAGAAUUGUUUUUUUUUCAGGGUAGAUGGAUGAGAUAGGAUGGAGUGGGAGGUGAAGGAAGGUGUUCUUACAGGUGUCCAGUCUCAGGCACGUUGAUGUUGACGUCCUGGAUGGUCUGCUUUUUCUUCUCUCUCCUAUUUCUUUAUCUCCUUGUCCUGCAUCUUAUGCCUCAUUUUGUCCAUCUCCGUCUGCCGGUCUUUUUUUUUUUUUUUUUAAGUACAUGCAGAUGUUUUCAAGGACUGUUUUGUUGUCCUCUAAUUCUUGGAUCCUGGUGAUAAGGAUCUGAUGUUCUUUGGGGAUGGUAUCCUCCGUUUGUUGGAUCUUAGCGAUCAGGCACAACUCAGUGAAACCACUGCUUGUGACCAUCUCGUGGUGGGUAUCCUCUCGGCAGGUUGUCAGAGAAAAAUGAAAUGAAAUGUGUGCAAUAUAAAUUAACAGUACAGUUAAUCAAAGCCGCCCAAUUAAAAAAUAAAAAAUAACAAAACAAUAUUUAAAUAAAUGUACAUGAAAUAAAAAUAAGGCAGAAAUGAGGUAAGGGAAAUGUGCAAACCUGAUUAGGUUGUAAAAAAAAUAAGCAGCCAGAGAAUCCCUCUGGGAUCUUUUUUUUUUUUUAGAUCUUUCUUAUUUAGAUCUCUUUUUUUUCAGAUCUCUUUUUUUUUUUUUUUUUUUUUAGAUCUUUUUUUUUUUUUUUUAGAUUUUUUUUUUUCAGGGUAGAUAGAUGAGGUAGGAUGGAGUGGGAGGUGAAGGAAGGUGUUCUUACAGGUGUCCAGUCUCAGGCACGUUGAUGUUGACGUCCUGGAUGGUCUGCUUUUUCUUCUCUCUACUAUUUCUUUAUCUCCUUGUCCUGCAUCUUAUGCCUCAUUUUGUCCAUCUCCGUCUGCCGGUCUUUUUUUUUUUUUUUUAAGAACAUGCAGAUGUUUUCAAGGACUGUUUUGUUGUCCUCUAAUUCUUAGCGAUCAGGCACAACUCAGUGAAACCACUGCUUGUGACCAUCUCGUGGUGGGUAUUCUCUCGGCAGGUUGUAAAAAAAAAAGAAAUGAAAUGUGUGCAAUAUAAAUUAACAGUACAGUUAAUUAAAGCCGACCAAUUAAAAAAUAAAAAAUAACAAAACAAUAUUUAAAUAAAUGUACAUGAAAUAAAAAUAAGGCAGAAAUGAGGUAAGGGAAAUGUGCAAACCUGAUUAGGUUGUAAAAAAAAUAAGCAGCCAGAGAAUCCCUCUGGGAUCUUUUUUUUUUUUUAGAUCUUUCUUAUUUAGAUCUCUUUUUUUUCAGAUCUCUUUUUUUUUUUUUUUUAGAUUUUUUUUUUUCAGGGUAGAUAGAUGAGGUAGGAUGGAGUGGGAGGUGAAGGAAGGUGUUCUUACAGGUGUCCAGUCUCAGGCACGUUGAUGUUGACGUCCUGGAUGGUCUGCUUUUUCUUCUCUCUCCUAUUUCUUUAUCUCCUUGUCCUGCAUCUUAUGCCUCAUUUUGUCCAUCUCCGUCUGCCGGUC
This is a long non-coding RNA of Gasterosteus aculeatus aculeatus (three-spined stickleback), 7996 nucleotides long. The record is from Ensembl. NCBI's taxonomy places the organism in Eukaryota, Metazoa, Chordata, Actinopteri, Perciformes, Gasterosteidae.